Molecule: ribosomal RNA, 253 nt
Filed under: uncultured bacterium
Lineage: Bacteria
Description: partial 16S ribosomal RNA
Rfam family: Bacterial small subunit ribosomal RNA
Source: RNAcentral
UACGGGGGGGGCAAGCGUUGUUCGGAAUUACUGGGCGUAAAGGGCUCGUAGGCGGCCAACUAAGUCGAACGUGAAAUCCCCAGGCUCAACCUGGGAACUGCGUCCGAUACUGGAUGGCUUGAAUCCGGGAGAGGGAUGCAGAAUUCCAGGUGUAGCGGUGAAAUGCGUAGAUAUCUGGAGGAAUACCGGUGGCGAAGGCGGCAUCCUGGACCGGCAUUGACGCUGAGGAGCGAAAGCCAGGGGAGCAAACGGG